This 801-nucleotide ribosomal RNA is filed under the name uncultured bacterium. Its description in RNAcentral is "bacterial SSU rRNA". It matches the Rfam family "Bacterial small subunit ribosomal RNA", at positions 92 to 894 of the family's 1533-position model. The record is from RNAcentral.
AGACCGGCGCACGGGUGCGUAACGCGUAUGCAAUCUGCCUUACACUAAGGGAUAGCCCAGAGAAAUUUGGAUUAAUACCUUAUAGUAUAUUGAUGUGGCAUCACAUUAUUAUUAAAGAUUUAUCGGUGUAAGAUGAGCAUGCGNCCCAUUAGCUAGUUGGUAUGGUAACGGCAUACCAAGGCAAUGAUGGGUAGGGGUCCUGAGAGGGAGAUCCCCCACACUGGUACUGAGACACGGACCAGACUCCUACGGGAGGCAGCAGUGAGGAAUAUUGGUCAAUGGUCGCAAGACUGAACCAGCCAUGCCGCGUGCAGGAUGAAGCAUCUAUGGUGUGUAAACUGCUUUUGUACGGGAAGAAACACCCCUUCGUGAAGGGGCUUGACGGUACCGUAAGAAUAAGGAUCGGCUAACUCCGUGCCAGCAGCCGCGGUAAUACGGAGGAUCCGAGCGUUAUCCGGAAUCAUUGGGUUUAAAGGGUCCGUAGGCGGUUUUGUAAGUCAGUGGUGAAAUCCGGCAGCUCAACUGUCGAACUGCCAUUGAUACUGCAGGACUUGAAUUACUGUGAAGUAACUAGAAUAUGUAGUGUAGCGGUGAAAUGCUUAGAUAUUACAUGGAAUACCAAUUGCGAAGGCAGGUUACUAACAUUAUAUUGACGCUGAUGGACGAAAGCGUGGGGAGCGAACAGGAUUAGAUACCCUGGUAGUCCACGCCGUANACGAUGGAUACUAGCUGUUUGGUUGUAAGACUGAGUGGCUAAGCGAAAGUGAUAAGUAUCCCACCUGGGGAGUACGGGCGCAAGCC